This 107-nucleotide small nuclear RNA is filed under the name Phlebotomus papatasi. The record is from RNAcentral. Lineage: Eukaryota; Metazoa; Arthropoda; Insecta; Diptera; Psychodidae.
GUUCUUGCUUCGGCAGAACAUAUACUAAAAUUGGAAUGAUACAGAGAAGAUUAGCAUGGUCCCUGUGCAAGGAUGACACGCAAAAUCGUGAAGAGUGUGUAGAUACC